AUUACCCUCUCUACUCUCUCUACACUUAAUGAAUUUCAUACUUACUUGAAAAAUUUCCAUGAUUGAAGAAUUGAACCCGAACCUUCCAGAUGAUGACUGAACACGCUACCUUUGAACCGUCGCCGUUGUCUGGGUAGUUGGUUCAAAAACUUGAAUUUCAAAUAUACCAGAGAAUUUCACCUUCACUUUUUCAAAGUAGGCGAAAUAAUGAAAACGUAAACAACAAAACCGAUGUGCAUUUAACGAAACCAUAUUUUUCCGCGUGCAGUAGAUUCUUGGCACAUACUUCCAAACAAAGUUGUGUAAACAAUCGACUGCAAAGGACACAAAGAACUAGCUGCAGUCCCAGCAAGAUGGAUGGAAACUUCCAGCAGGGGCUAAUUUCUUCUUCGGGAAAAUAGUAAGAGUUGAACAAAUCAGAAGAACAGCUUGGAACGAAGAAUACAUACGGAACUUUUUAUAAUGGCUCAAUUCCAACAUCGAGGGCGAAUGUCAGAGAACAGAAUGUUGCAGGCGUAAAUUUGUUUUUUCUUUAAAAUUUCAAGCCGAUUGUACCUGGACAGGAUCAAGCCGAGUCGCAUCUAAAAUAGCCAUACUGACAAACCUUUAACAUUUGAACAUUUUUCUUAAAAAUACUCACAACACAACACAAAAGCUUAAAAAUGCCACGAAACGAUUGACAAAUACUGGGCAGAGACGUGGCGCUCGGAAAAUGCUCAUUCAAAAAUAAAAACCAUCAAAGAUUUCAACAGACUUAGAUGAACCAAUUUCGAGUGAAAUGUCUUCUAAUAUUGGACACUCCGAUGACCAGGCCAGAGAUGAUUGUAGUAGUGAUUCAAAAUAACAUUUUGUCAUUAAUUUUCCAUUUUAUGUAUCCAUUUAAAACAAACAUGAAAUAAAUAUUAUU
This is a long non-coding RNA of Uranotaenia lowii, 907 nucleotides long. RefSeq lists it as uncharacterized. The record is from RefSeq and is a predicted model, not a curated record. The transcript has 3 exons. NCBI's taxonomy places the organism in Eukaryota, Metazoa, Arthropoda, Insecta, Diptera, Culicidae.